CAUUGAGCUGGUAAUCCAUUGUGGGGAGAAACAGAUCUAACAAUGACAGUAAGCUGAUAAACAUGGGAAACAUCAGGGGUUGAAUUGACUGAUAAACUAAAAUAACCUGCCUAUCUGAAGUCACUCGGUAUUGCUUCUUGAACUGUAUUAGCCAUCACCUGGAUAACCUCGUCGCAUAUGGCUUUGGAUAAGUAAGGGUGACCAAAGCCUUUACCUCCAUACCGAUUUAUGUGAGCACACAUGAAGGGAUCAAAUCUGGCAAUUAAUUCAAGCAAUUCCAGAAAGUUACCAUUAUUUGGUGAACUGAAUUCCUGAAUUUUAUUUCCCCUAAAUGCCAAGCCACAUUCUGCCAAAAGAGAAAUCAGUGCAAUAACUCACUGAAGUACGUGCCUCCAGUAAUCCUGCUCGUUUUGAUGUGAGCAUGUGAUCAUGCUUCCUUGUUAAGCAUGUUAGCAUAGGGGUAAUAUGAUUUUUAGAGUUUUUGUGGGUUCAAACAACAUAAGUGUGAUGCUAAUAAUCAAAGUCAUUAGAAGAUAAAGCUGUAGUUCAGGUAGUUAGGUUAGAGAAAAAUUUGCACACAAAACAGUAGACUUUUCCUGUUGUGGGAGAAUACAUUAGCCAUUCCUGAGGGUAGGUUUUUCAAUUUACUUUUGGUGGAAUAGAAUCAAUCCAGAAUAUUUUCUCGUUAUUCAACAUGGUCCAUAAACCUACAUCAUUAUUGUCUCUGAAAUAACUAGUUAGUAAUUUUGUGUCUGCGGUGUUGGGGUUUUCGCUGAGAUCAUUUGCUUUGUUUCCCAAUUCUUUAAGAUUGCAUUAAGCUUGAACUGCUUCUUUUGGUGUAACUAUCUUGUGGCGUGUUCCUUCUGUGCCUUCAGUGGCGGACCAUGGGGUCUCAAAUUUCAGAGGUGCCCUGUGCAACACCAAGAUUUGGUACUCCCCACUCAUCUCGCUCUAUUCUACACCAUAAUUGCAGCAUCUCUUGUGAUGCGAUGCCCUCAAGGCUCUGCGUCCAGUGUGACCAAACCAGUUGCACUCCCCUAAAUCUGCCUCUGGUACCUUGUGUUAGUCUUUGUAGGUCCAGUCACUUCAUUGCCACUUUCCUUAGAAUUUUCUGUACUUGUGGCUGUAGUCACUGAAAACAGUUCUCAAAGUUCUUGGGAGGCUGCGCUCUGUAUAUAAACUGGUUGUUCUGCUCAAACUGCUUAGCGUCGUCUACUUGAUUUUCUUCUAUUUGUAAACACGGACGUUCUGUAUCUGAGGGAUUAUGUAGGGCUGUUUUUGCCGGCUGUACAAAGCGGUAUGACGUGAUUGGCUUUAAAUGUUGGGAGUACUUCCUUCUCUUCUUUUCGUCGCUUUCAUUUACUAGUACCACUUUCAUAUUGCUUGCUCAUUAUUAUUUUCACAAAAAGGUGAUUCACAGUGAUAUAAAAGCAUCCUCACUUGUUCUUAAAACACACACUGUAAUGAUAGACAGUGAUGUGAACACUUGCAUUGCUUCGUAGUGGACGAUAUUAUUUGAUUCUGAGUAGCUUUAAAGCCUCCACGAAUUUACUAAACAAUAAGUAUUCACUUGUCAUAGACUCGUGUGUCACAUGUUUAACGUUACUAAGGAACUGGGCCUAGAUUGUAAAAUUUGCCUGUUUAUUUAGAAUGGGGGGGGGGGGCAAGAGGCCGAGGCCCUCCUAGAUUAUGAGGCCCUGGGAUGCAGCCUCCUCAGUCUGUAUGUAAAUGUAGCCAGUACUAUUUUUCUAGAAAAAAAGGUGCUGGAACUCACUAUGAACGCCUCCCUAAGUCUCUUAGAAUGGCAGUGGCACCAACCUGAGAGGUGCCAGAACCCACCUGAGAGCAGAUCCUCCAAGUGUCCCUAUUUUCCAGGGAUGUUCCUGAUUUUGAGAAGCUGUCCAGGUUUCUGAUUUGAUCCCAGAAUGUCCCACUUUUCCUUAGGACCUCCCUAUUUUCAUUGAAGAAAUGUUGGAGGGUAUGGAGUUAUCCGGCCUCCGAGCCAUCUGAAGGCAAUCCUGUAUAGGGAAGUUUUUAAAAAUGUUUCAUGUUUUAUGAUGUUUUUAUAUAUAUAUUGGAAGCUGCCUAGAGUGGCUGGGGCAACCCAGUAAGAUGUGUGGGGUAUAUAUAGUAGAAUGAUCAUUAUGGAAUGGGACAAGGACAUUGGAUAAAUGUUGGAGGGUAUGCCUAGGAGGUGCCGGAACCGAGUUCCUGUGAGUUCCCCCUGAAAAAAAAGGCCCUGAAUGUAGUACUGCUACUAGCCAUGAUGGCUGCACCCCUGUGGCAGCAUCCCUUGGAAUACCAGUUGCUGGAAACUGCAGGAAGGGAGAGUUCUCCUGUGCUCCAGUCCUGCUAGUGAGUUUCCCACUGAAGCAUUUGGUUGGCCAUGGUGAGAACAAGACGCUGGACUAGAUGGGCCCCCUUUGGCCUGAUCUUACAGGAUUCCAGCACAUUCUGGAGGUUGCCCACCCCUCUUGUUACUGGUUGAAAGUAAUACCUCAGCUCCACCACUGUCCCUUUUGGUCAGAGCCAUUCACCCUUGGGAAACAUCAGAAGAGGCUAAACUGUGGCCCUCCGGAUGUUGCUAUGUGACAACUCCAAUAACCCCUGACAGAUGGAGGUGCUGUUUCGUCAGUCUGCCUCAGGGACUAGGGCCUGGCCUGCUGUGGAAAGGGUUGUACUCCCCUUGAGCCUUGUGGUGGCAAGGAGUACAUUUACGCCAGGGCAUUUCGUGUACCAACCAUCACAUCUCUUGAGUCAGUCUGAUUUAGCACUAGUUACCCAUGCCUUCACUGCAUUGCUGUUCAGAUUACUGCAAACUGAGUUACGUGGAGCUACCUUAGAAGACUGCCCGGACAGUGCAGCGCUUCAAACGAUGCAAAAAUGUAAUGGCCAAGCAAUUGUUCCCCAGGCUCAGGAGAAGAUGUUUAAAGCCCUAAGCGGCUUAGUUCCUCUGGGGCUGCAUACCUCAUUAUGAACCUGCCCCCUUAUUAAGAGCUGCAGGAGAGACCCUUAUGAAGAUAUGACUGCCAGCAGAGGCCCACUUGACAGGCAUGUGGGGGAGAGCUUUUUCCUCCAUCACCCCCACAUGAAGGAAUGCAAUCACACCCACCCACAUCACUAUUGUUAGGAAAGGUAUCAAGGCACAGUUAAAACAAAAAACCAAGCAGUUUUCUAUAGACUCGAGAUUUUAAUGUAAAGAGUCCCCCCCCUACAAAAAGAGCAGAUUUUGGCUAACAUUCCCAAUGUAACAUGGUCAUGGUCUAAUUUUAAUCAAUUGUUUUUCUUUUUGUUAAAACCAUGUAUAGCCAUUCAAGCAGACCGAGAGUUGACUGCUUUUGAACAACUUGUGGUCAAUAUUCCUGCUACAGAGAACAAUCAGAGAAAAAUCUUUGUUGACAUUUAUUAAGGACUGGAAACUUCUUAUGGACUUUUUGCGUGAAAGAGAAAAUGAACUUGUAAUAUCUGGAUUUGAAGAUUGAGAAAAUGUUGGCUUAUAGAAAAUAGAAUAGUUGGAUGUCAAUUUCAGUGAAUACUUUGAACUAGUUGCUACAUUUAGCUGCCAAGAGAAUCAGAAGUCUUUUAAUCUUUUUCUAUUUUUCCCUUUUAAAAUUUUCUUUUUAUUUCUUUUUUCCUUCUCCCUUCUCUUUGCUCCUAUUUUUUUUAAGAUUAGAUUUUAAAAAUAUUUAUUUUAUUCUGGUAUAUAACAAAAAGAUGCUUUGUAUUGGGUAUAAACUUUUGCACAUCUUUUGAUGAGUAUCGAUUAAAAUAAAAUGUGUGGAGAAAAAAUUGUUCCUGCUACAUCAGUGAGUGAAGUACCAACCAUAUAAAAAAUAUUAACUUAGGUAGAAUUUGGCCAUCUUAUGACCACAAAAAUUCUCUGGGAAAUGGACCUUGAAGUAAUAAUCUCUAAUGAAAAAUGGAAAACACUUUGAGUUGGGGGGCAGAGGAUGUUUUAAAACUGUUUCGGCCCAAUUAAUGGAAUUGUCUUUGAAAUGCAUACAUAGGUGAUAUAUUUUCUGCUUGCAAAUAUCCCACAAGAUACCAGGGGCAACAUCAACCUGUUGGAAGGGAUGUGGGGAGACUGGAUCUUACAUUCAUAUGGAUGGUUUUGCAAAUCUGUUUACCCAUUUUGGGUUUUGAUAUUUAAAAAAAUGAGUUUAAUAUUCAAAGUGGACCUACAACCUUACCCUCUAACUUGCUUUACUUUGAAUAAAGGACAUAUCUACUCCACCAACUGCUCAUGAAGAACUUUUAAUGUUCCUCCUCACAGUGGAAAACAUGGAAAUAGCCAUGCUCUUGGGCCUGAAAACUGAAGUGUGAUACUCCAUAGCAUGGGCAAUAGCCUUGGCUGAAAAGCUGAUGAGCCAGAUUUGUGCUACCAAAGGGAAUUCUAACCAACAGCUUUUCUAUAUUGUGUGGCAACCAUUUUUGGAUGAUAUGGGUUAAGAAGACUGAGUUCUCAUGGUAAUAUAUGGAAAGAUUUCUUGGAGUGAUUUGUAAUAAUUUUAUUUGAUAUUUUUAAGCAACGUGGUUGAUGUGUUUUGACUUACGUUUUAUGUGUGAUGUGAAGAAUGAAAAUGAAUAAACAUUAUUUUAAAAACCU
This 4606-nucleotide long non-coding RNA is filed under the name Podarcis lilfordi (Lilford's wall lizard). Lineage: Eukaryota; Metazoa; Chordata; Lepidosauria; Squamata; Lacertidae. The record is from RNAcentral.